RNAcentral lists this small nuclear RNA (107 nucleotides) under Myotis davidii. Lineage: Eukaryota; Metazoa; Chordata; Mammalia; Chiroptera; Vespertilionidae. The record is from RNAcentral.
GUGCUUGCUUCGGCAGCACAUAUACUAAAAUUGGAAGGAUACAGAGAAGAUUGGCAUGGCCCCUCUGCAAGGAUGACACGCAAAUUCGUGAAGCGUUCCUUUUUUAA